Molecule: ribosomal RNA, 468 nt
Filed under: uncultured bacterium
Lineage: Bacteria
Description: partial 16S ribosomal RNA
Rfam family: Bacterial small subunit ribosomal RNA
Source: RNAcentral
GACGAACGCUGGCGGCGUGCUUAACACAUGCAAGUCGAACGGAAAGGCCCUGCUUUUGUGGGGUGCUCGAGUGGCGAACGGGUGAGUAACACGUGAGUAACCUGCCCUUGACUUUGGGAUAACUUCAGGAAACUGGGGCUAAUACCGGAUAGGAGCUCCUGCUGCAUGGUGGGGGUUGGAACGUUUCGGCGGUUGUGGAUGGACUGGCGGCUUAUUAGCUUGUUGGUGGGGUAGUGGCUUACCAAGGCUUUGACGGGUAGCCGGCCUGAGAGGGUGACCGGGGACAAUAGGACUGAGAUAGGGCGCAGACGCCUACGGGAGGCAGCAGUGGAGAAUAUUGCACAAUGGGGCGAAGCCUGAGGCGGCAGCGCCGGGUGCGGGAUGACGGCCUUCGGGUUGUAAACCGCUUUAGCCUGUGACGAAGCGUGAGUGACGGUAAUGGGUAAAGAAGCACCGGCUAACUACGUG